CGGGUAUCGACCCCUGCAGUGCCAUAGCUAACGCGAUAAGUAUCCCGCCUGGGGAGUACGCACGCAAGUGUGAAACUCAAAGGAAUUGACGGGGACCCGCACAAGCGGUGGAACAUGUGGUUUAAUUCGAAGCAACGCGAAGAACCUUACCAGGGCUUGACAUCUAACAAACUUCUGUGAAAGCAGAAGGUGCUCUUCGGAGAAUGUUAAGACAGGUGGUGCACGGUUGUCGUCAGCUCGUGUCGUGAGAUGUUGGGUUAAGUCCCGCAACGAGCGCAACCCUCGUCGUUAGUUGCAUGUAGCGGUAUACUGCUACAGUGCUCUCUAGCGAGACUGCCGGUGAUAAACCGGAGGAAGGUGAGGACGACGUCAAAUCAUCAUGCCCCUUAUGCUCUGGGCUACACACGUGUUACAAUGGUCGGUACAACGAGUCGCCAACUCGCAAGAGUGAGCAAAUCUCUUAAAACCGAUCUCAGUUCGGAUUGGAGUCUGUAACUCGACUCCAUGAAGUCGGAAUCGCUAGUAAACGCAGAUCAGCACGCUGCGUUGAAUACGUUCCCGGGUCUUGUACACACCGCCCGUCACACCAUGGAAGUCGACCACGCCCGAAGUACGUGAGCUAACCUUUUGGAAGCAGCGUCCUAAGGCAGGGUUGGUGACUGGGGUGAAGUCGUAACAAGGUAGCCG
RNAcentral lists this ribosomal RNA (687 nucleotides) under uncultured bacterium. RNAcentral describes it as "bacterial SSU rRNA". It matches the Rfam family "Bacterial small subunit ribosomal RNA", at positions 826 to 1502 of the family's 1533-position model. The record is from RNAcentral.